AUCAUGCCUCUUCCCUACCACAUUUUUCACGUAUUUCUCCACCAACCAUAAAAACCUUCCGUGACUAACAGCCGCACGUCUAUGGGCAAUAUACACUAGAUGCCCAGAACUAAAUGACCUGUAAAAAUCUCUCAAAUUCACUCCCCUUUUCAAUUCCCUCCACCAUCGAUGUCAGUCACAUCACGCUCAGUUUUCCCAAUACCACUGCGAUAGGUUCUUUUGCUCCUCUCAACAAAACAAAGGCCUUCUUCUCCCUCAUCGUAUAGGAACUGAAAUGAUUUUUCUUUAACAUAGAAGAAUCCCAAAUAACCCAUCAUUUUGAUCGCCCGGAGCAAUCAAAUUUGUAAAUAAAUUGAUUGUAAGGAAGUUUAGGACGAUAACACCACCAUCACUUCGCCCAGUGUAUAGCAACUCAAAUGAUUUUUCUUUAACGUCGAAGAAUCCUAAAUAACCCAUCAUUUUGAUCACUCAGAGCAAUCAAAUUUGUGAAUAAAUUGAGUGUAAGGAAGUUUAGCACGAUAGCACCACUAUCUCUUCACCAAUGUAGAAGAAUCGCAAAUAACCCAUCGUUUUUAUCACUCAGAGCAAUUAAAUUUGUGAAUAAAUUGAGUGUAAGGAAGUUUAGGACGAUAACAUCACCAUCUCUUCCCCAGCUUCGAAACUUUAGUGCAAAUUUUGAAAACCAAAGCUAACAAAAAGUUGGAAAAUAAGAGACAUGUUUCUCAAAACCCAAUGCAAAUAUGAGCUUUAUGAUACAUAGAGUCAAAAGAAUUAAACUCUGCAUAUAAGUACUUCUAGGUAGAUACACAAGUGAUUAUUUUUAACAUUCUUGCUUAAAAGCCUUGUGCUUCCCAAUACAAUACAACACAUAAAAGUUACAUCCAUUUAAAUAGUUAACCCAAUCAAGGACCACUGGAGGGGCCACAAUGAUAAUAGUAUUAUAACCUAUAAAUAAAUAAAGUAAUCGUUUCUUACCAGUUAAAGUUUAAAGUAAGUGGUAAUUUGUCGCAAAUAAAAGAAAAAAGUUUUUAAAUAUUUAAAUUCAAUUUUGGAGAAAUAAAGAAUCUGCUAUAUUCCAAAAGUGCACUACUCUUUCAAAACCUCACUAUAGGAGUGACACUCAUCUUAAUUGGUUAAAUAAUAAUAUUUACUGUGAUAGUACUCUAACGCACAAUAGCCCUUGGCAUUGGCUGGAGACAAGCUCAAAUUAGUGUCUCGAGCAUCCUUAAGGGUUUCAAACUUGAAAUGUAAGCACUUAUUUCCUUCCAUGAGAUCGAUCCAUAUAUGAGUAAUUUAUUAAGACUGUAGACAAAAAAGGAAAAAUAAUUGUGACUAGCUAGCUGAGUCAGUGGCCAUACUACCUAGAUUUCAGCCUUUAACUGGAUUUUUUUACAAAAAAAAAAAUAAAUAAAUAAAAAGAAAGGGUGAUGAGGAUUGUACACAAGAUUGUCAACCUUAAUAAUAAGCAAAACUUAUGUCACAUGAAUCACCAAGAAGCUGGGGUGUUAUAGUCUUCAAAAUUGCAAUAUUCUCCUUUAUUCUUGAUACAUGUUAACUUUAUGGUCACGUAUUGGAUAAUUUUCUUCUACUGGGAUCAUCGUUGAUUACUUUUAGGGUCGAAAGUUUUCAAUUCAAGGUUUGUUGGGACAAGAUGCAUAUUCCAAUGCUUUUAUUGAUGGAGCGUUGGUGAUAUUUCGUUUGGCACCGCAGGAUUAUCAUCGGUUCCACGUUCCAGUUUCUGGAACUGUUGAGAAAUUUGUAAACAUACCUGGAUGCUUAUAUACAGUCAAUCCCAUUGCUGUAAAUAGCAAGUAUUGUAAUGUCUUCACUGAGAAUAAGCGAGUGGUAUCAAUUAUUUCAACUGCAGAGU
Molecule: non-coding RNA, 1870 nt
Organism: Corylus avellana
Lineage: Eukaryota; Viridiplantae; Streptophyta; Magnoliopsida; Fagales; Betulaceae
Source: RefSeq, a predicted model, not a curated record